AUUGAACGCUGGCGGCAUGCUUUACACAUGCAAGUCGAACGGUAACAGGCCUUCGGGUGCUGACGAGUGGCGAACGGGUGAGUAAUGCAUCGGAACGUGCCCAGAGGUGGGGGAUAACGCAGCGAAAGCUGUGCUAAUACCGCAUGAGAUCUGAGGAUGAAAGCGGGGGACCAGGCAGCAAUGUUUGGCCUCGCGCCUUUGGAGCGGCCGAUGUCAGAUUAGGUAGUUGGUGGGGUAAAGGCCUACCAAGCCGACGAUCUGUAGCUGGUCUGAGAGGACGACCAGCCACACUGGGACUGAGACACGGCCCAGACUCCUACGGGAGGCAGCAGUGGGGAAUUUUGGACAAUGGGCGCAAGCCUGAUCCAGCAAUGCCGCGUGCGGGAAGAAGGCCUUCGGGUUGUAAACCGCUUUUGUACGGAACGAAAAGGCUCUGGCUAAUACCUGGGGCUGAUGACGGUACCGUAAGAAUAAGCACCGGCUAACUACGUG
Molecule: ribosomal RNA, 492 nt
Filed under: uncultured bacterium
Lineage: Bacteria
Description: partial 16S ribosomal RNA
Rfam family: Bacterial small subunit ribosomal RNA
Source: RNAcentral